Molecule: ribosomal RNA, 1364 nt
Filed under: uncultured marine bacterium
Lineage: Bacteria
Description: bacterial SSU rRNA
Rfam family: Bacterial small subunit ribosomal RNA
Source: RNAcentral
GAUUGAACGCUGGCGGUAUGCUUAACACAUGCAAGUCGAACGGAAACGAUACUAGCUUGCUAGUAGGCGUCGAGUGGCGGACGGGUGAGUAACGCGUAGGAAUCUACCUGAUAGUGGGGGAUAGCCCGAAGAAAUUCGGAUUAAUACCGCAUAAUCUAUUCGUAGUAAAGUGGGGGACUUUCGAGCCUCACGCUAUCAGAUGAGCCUGCGUAAGAUUAGCUAGUUGGUAGGGUAAAAGCCUACCAAGGCUACGAUCUUUAGCUGGUCUGAGAGGGUGAUCCCCCACACUGGUACUGAGACACGGACCAGACUCCUACGGGAGGCAGCAGUGAGGAAUAUUGGUCAAUGGGCGCAAGCCUGAACCAGCCAUGCCGCGUGCAGGAAGAAUGCCCUAUGGGUUGUAAACUGCUUUUAUUUAGGAAUAAACCCCUCUACGUGUAGAGGGCUGAAUGUACUAAACGAAUAAGCACCGGCUAACUCCGUGCCAGCAGCCGCGGUAAUACGGAGGGUGCAAGCGUUAUCCGGAAUCAUUGGGUUUAAAGGGUCCGCAGGCGGACGUAUAAGUCAGUGGUGAAAUCCUGCAGCUUAACUGCAGAACUGCCAUUGAUACUGUACGUCUUGAAUUCGGUCGAAGUGGGCGGAAUGUGUAGUGUAGCGGUGAAAUGCAUAGAUAUUACACAGAACACCGAUAGCGAAAGGCAGCUCACUAGGCCUGGGAUUGACGCUCAGGGACGAAAGCGUGGGGAUCAAACAGGAUUAGAUACCCUGGUAGUCCACGCUGUAAACGAUGAUUACUCGUUUUCGGCGAUAUACAGUCGGAGACUAAGCGAAAGUGAUAAGUAAUCCACCUGGGGAGUACGAUCGCAAGGUUGAAACUCAAAGGAAUUGACGGGGGCCCGCACAAGCGGUGGAGCAUGUGGUUUAAUUCGAUGAUACGCGAGGAACCUUACCAGGGCUUAAAUGCAGAGCGAAUAGUUUGGAAACAGACUAGCCUUCGGGCGAUCUGCAAGGUGCUGCAUGGCUGUCGUCAGCUCGUGCCGUGAGGUGUUGGGUUAACUCCCGCAACGAGCGCAACCCCUAUCUUUAGUUGCCAGCGAGUAAUGUCGGGGACUCUAAAGAAACUGCCUACGCAAGUAGUGAGGAAGGCGGGGACGACGUCAAGUCAUCACGGCCCUUACGUCCUGGGCCACACACGUGCUACAAUGGUUGGUACAGAGGGCAGCUACCGGGUGACCGGAUGCGAAUCUCUAAAGCCAAUCUCAGUUCGGAUUGGAGUCUGCAACUCGACUCUAUGAAGCUGGAAUCGCUAGUAAUCGCGCAUCAGCCAUGGCGCGGUGAAUACGUUCCCGGGCCUUGUACUCACC